AUUGAACGCUGGCGGCAGGCCUAACACAUGCAAGUCGAACGAGUGGCGGACGGGUGAGUAAUGUCUGGGAAACUGCCUGAUGGGGGGGGAUAACUACUGGAAACGGUCGCUAAUACCGCAUACCAUCAGAUUUGGCCAGAUGGGAUUGGCUGGUUGGUGGGGGAACGGCUCACCAAGGCGACGAUACCUAGCUGGUCUGAGAGGAUGACCAGCCACACUGGAACUGGGACACGGUCCAGAUUCCUCGGGGAGGCAGCAGUGGGGAAUAUUGCACAAGGGGGGCAAGCCUGAUGCAGCCAGGCGGCGUGGAUGAAGAAGGCCUUCGGGUGGUAAAGUACUUUCAGCGGGGAGGCGGUACCCGCAGAAGAAGCACCGGCUAACUCCGUGCCAGCAGCCGCGGUAAUAC
RNAcentral lists this ribosomal RNA (406 nucleotides) under uncultured bacterium. RNAcentral's name for it is "partial 16S ribosomal RNA". It matches the Rfam family "Bacterial small subunit ribosomal RNA", at positions 29 to 526 of the family's 1533-position model. The record is from RNAcentral.